GAGCGGACAGAUGGGAGCUUGCUCCCUGAUGUUAGCGGCGGACGGGUGAGUAACACGUGGGUAACCUGCCUGUAAGACUGGGAUAACUCCGGGAAACCGGGGCUAAUACCGGAUGGUUGUUUGAACCGCAUGGUUCAGACAUAAAAGGUGGCUUCGGCUACCACUUACAGAUGGACCCGCGGCGCAUUAGCUAGUUGGUGAGGUAACGGCUCACCAAGGCAACGAUGCGUAGCCGACCUGAGAGGGUGAUCGGCCACACUGGGACUGAGACACGGCCCAGACUCCUACGGGAGGCAGCAGUAGGGAAUCUUCCGCAAUGGACGAAAGUCUGACGGAGCAACGCCGCGUGAGUGAUGAAGGUUUUCGGAUCGUAAAGCUCUGUUGUUAGGGAAGAACAAGUGCCGUUCAAAUAGGGCGGCACCUUGACGGUACCUAACCAGAAAGCCACGGCUAACUACGUGCCAGCAGCCGCGGUAAUACGUAGGUGGCAAGCGUUGUCCGGAAUUAUUGGGCGUAAAGGGCUCGCAGGCGGUUUCUUAAGUCUGAUGUGAAAGCCCCCGGCUCAACCGGGGAGGGUCAUUGGAAACUGGGGAACUUGAGUGCAGAAGAGGAGAGUGGAAUUCCACGUGUAGCGGUGAAAUGCGUAGAGAUGUGGAGGAACACCAGUGGCGAAGGCGACUCUCUGGUCUGUAACUGACGCUGAGGAGCGAAAGCGUGGGGAGCGAACAGGAUUAGAUACCCUGGUAGUCCACGCCGUAAACGAUGAGUGCUAAGUGUUAGGGGGGUUUCCGCCCCUUAGUGCUGCAGCUAACGCAUUAAGCACUCCGCCUGGGGAGUACGG
This 841-nucleotide ribosomal RNA is filed under the name Bacillus sp. R77A. RNAcentral describes it as "bacterial SSU rRNA". It matches the Rfam family "Bacterial small subunit ribosomal RNA", at positions 64 to 885 of the family's 1533-position model. The record is from RNAcentral. Lineage: Bacteria; Bacillati; Bacillota; Bacilli; Caryophanales; Bacillaceae.